RNAcentral lists this ribosomal RNA (253 nucleotides) under uncultured bacterium. Its description in RNAcentral is "partial 16S ribosomal RNA". It matches the Rfam family "Bacterial small subunit ribosomal RNA", at positions 524 to 776 of the family's 1533-position model. The record is from RNAcentral.
UACGUAGGGUGCAAGCGUUGUCCGGAAUUAUUGGGCGUAAAGAGCUCGUAGGCGGUUUGUCACGUCGGCCGUGAAAACUCGGGGCUCAACCCCGAGCCUGCGGUCGAUACGGGCAGACUAGAGUGCUGUAGGGGAGAUUGGAAUUCCUGGUGUAGCGGUGAAAUGUGCAGAUAUCAGGAGGAACACCGGUGGCGAAGGCGGGUCUCUGGGCAGUAACUGACGAUGAGGAGCGAAAGCGUGGGGAGCAAACAGG